ACGAACAACCCUUGCUAAGAGGUGAGACGUGGAUUUUGGUUCGCCAAUUGUGUCAAAGUUUGUGUUUUUGUUCUGGGUUUUUAUGGGUGGGAUGAGAUUUUUCUGUUUUAGAACACUCUGUUUGGUUUCUGGGAAACGAUGGGAAAGGGAAAGGAAAAGGGGAAUUUGGAAAGAACAUUCAACCACAAUAAUGUUACUUGACUCAAAGUUUUAAACUUUCUUUUUUUUUUCGUUCAUUUUGUCUAACACGCCAAGUGGGUUUCUGGAUUUGUUUUGUUGGCUUUAAAUCAUUUUUUUUUUAAUUUUGCUUUCUUCUGCUUUCUGUGUUUUCUUCAUGGAUUUGGGUCUUCAUUCGCAAUUUUGCUUUCAACGGAUUUGAUCUGAUUUCCAGAGUAAUUUGUCCUUUAAAACAUAAAUUUUGCUUUAAAAAUUAUAAAAUUCCUGCCUUACAAUUUUUUAUUUAAUGAUAAAAUUUUAAUUUUUUAUCAUAUUUUUGGACCGAGUAUUUUGAUUUCUUCAAUCCGUGCUGAGGGUCUUAGAUCUUUUAAAUUUAUUUUGGUGGAACAGAAUUUCCUGCAAAAGUGUCUGAACUGAUUUUUAUUUUCUUUUUAAACUCUCUUACAUGGAUCCCCUAUGUCAGGGUUUUGUAAUGUUUUUACUUUUUUUUUUAAUUAUUAGAUUUUCCAUAUCUUUUCGUCUUUAAAAUGAAAUUUUUUAUCUUUGUUUCUGAAAUUAACAGAAAUCAUGAAGUAAAAAUUUGUUAGGCAUAUGCAUUUUUUUUUUAAUGUUGUACCUCAAACUGUCAACAUGACAUCAAGUCUCGUUUUUUACGCUUUUCUACUUCUCUUUUUAUUUUUAAUUUUGGUUUUUUAUUUAUUAUGCCCACAAUUUGUAUUAUUUUCUCCUUUUAUUUGAUUCUAUAUUUUUCUGGUUAUUUUCUGUUCUACACUUGUUGGUUUGUUUAGAUCAUGACGAUCUGAUUAUGAAUUCUGCUCUUUGCUCGAAGUUUUUGUUUCUGUAUCUGUGGAUUUUAUGUGGGUUGAAUUGGGCUGCAAGGAAUAGUGGCUUCAGACUGAUGAUCAGAUGUCUCAGUUCUGAUUGGAAGUUUUGCAAAUUCCAAUUUCAUAGUGCCAAUUCAUUACCAGAAGCAAGAACUUUGGUUGUUGCAGGCAACAAAGCAGUUGCCUUUGAGAUAAUGUUCUUCUGACUGGGUUCUGUGAGCUCAAGUGAUUGGCAAGAUUUGCAUUUCAAAAUUAGAGCGUGAAAUGCUGAUGUUUCUCUGCGUGUGAUGUGUCCUUCUUGGUGUUAUCUCUGAGAUAUGGUGUUGCAGAAAAGGUUAGACUACGGAUUCAAUGGCUAUCAGGUUCCUCCGACACCCCGAGCUACCAGAUCAGCAAGGAGGAGAGGCUCCUUUAAGAAGAAAGUUGGAGAGAACCAGAUGUGUGCAUUUGACUUGUUGGCCAUUGUAGCUGGAAACUUAUUGCUCGACAAAGAAAGCCCUCCCAGUUCUAGUGAUACUUCAGCUGAUAAAGAUCACUGUAUGGUUGUCAAUGAUAAUGUUAAAAAUGAAUGGCAAUAUGAUGAAAAAAAUAUGAAAAUUCAAGUUCAUGAUCAAGGAAGCCCUGCUAGGAGCUUCUUUGUUUCAGAGCUUGUCUCACUAGGUAAUGAACGAAAUCAUUGUUCCAAAGAAUCAUUGUAUGCGCAGAAUGGUCUCAAUUCAGGAUUAGGUUGUACGGUAGCUACUUCUGAGUGUGCAGAGAGGAUUGAUUCUGAGAUGUUGGUGAACAGCAAAAGCAAGAAUGAAAUAGGAACUUUUGCUGGUAAGUUACACGUAGGCUCCUCUGGGCAUUGGGAGUUUGAUGACUGUAAACUAGAGCACGAAACUGGAAAAGUAAUAAAUGAUGAGCCCGAUAAAUCUGGGAAGGUACAAUGUGGCACUGUGGCUAACGUGUGCAGCUCUGAGGAUCCAGUGGUCUGGGAUGGAAAACCUCAUGCACUUGUCAGUUCAGACAGCAGUGCCAAGGUGCCUUUGUGUGGGAACAACAUUUCCCAUAGUUCUUACCCCUCAAAUGGGGAUGAUGUAAGUGUAGAUGGUAGAGAUGAUGACGAAAACUCCUCUGGGUGUACUUACCCUAGCAUCACAAAAGAAUUCUUUAGGCCAGCUCCACGUGUUGGAGAUCGAAGAAUAAGGAAAGUUUUGGCUUCUAAAUACUGGAAAGUAGCUCCAAAAUUGAAGGAUUGCGAACUUUCCAAAGUUGCUUGUUUAGAUGGGGGAAUGAGGCCUCUUUAUCGCAAGCGGAAAAUAUGUAACAGUCAUGAAAGAUAUCAACAUGACACUCUUUAUAAGAGGAGGAAGUUUUCUGAUCAUAGCUUAGUUGUGACUUCUGAUGGAGGGUUCAGCAGUGAGAGUGUUUGUAAUUCUCCAGAAAAUGGCAUAAAUGUAGGCAAGAAUGCUCCUACUACAAUGUUUCAUGGAGGUCUUUUUCUAGCUUAUUACUUUGAUUUCUCCUAUAUUUUCAUGAUGUUCCAGGUUUCUGCUUGUUGAUUUUGCUAAAUGGUUUUACAUAUUGUUUUCAGCAAAUGGGGUAUCAAUGUCAUCAUCAAUUAUAGGUCAUCAAGCUUCUUUCCAUUCCAAGGAUUCUCAUGUGAAGUUCAGCAUUAAGUCCUUCAGGAUACCAGAGAUUUUUAUUGAGGUCCCUGAAACUGCAACUGUUGGUUCACUGAAGGUACAAAUGUCCAGUCUUCGUGUUUUCAUUUCAUAUAUAUUUAGGAAACCUCAUCCUAGACAGCAGUAUCCUUAGAUUGUUUACUCUCUAACAGUUUCUUUUCUAUUUUUCCAUUGAUAGAUUUUAUUGCUUACCAUUUACAUUUGCAUGUGUCUUUUACAUGUUGAAUGCAUGAAGUAAAUAGGUCAUUAGGCAUUGAAUUUUUAAUAAUAGUUUUCUUUGGCAAGUUGCCGCCAAGGGUCAGUGGUUACUUAAUUCCUGAUUUUUGUACUAUGGUGUUAUGUGACUUUCUAUAGAGGACAGUUAUGGAGGCUGUGACAGCUAUACUUGGAGGUGGUUUACGUGUUGGAGUGCUUCGUCAUGGAAAGAAGGUUAGGGAUGAUAACAGAACCUUAUUACAGACUGGUAUCAGUUCCAAAGAGAACCUUGAUACCUUGGGUUUCACAUUGGAACCUAGUCCCGUGCAAGCUCCUCCAACUGUGUGCACUGAAGAUCCUCCCAUUCCAUUACCAUGUGACAGCACUCAACUCCUACCAAGGUCCCCAGCUGCUCCUGUUUUAGAUUUGGGGAUUUCUGAUGCCUCACCUGGCCCUCCUCAACUGACUAGUUCAGGCAAUAACAUUGACAGUAAUCACGAAUCAGGUUCCUCUCAUACUGACAAAUUAGCCGACAAAACACUGUCAGAUUCCAGAGCUCUGGUUCCAGUUCCACCUGUUAGUGUUGAGGCACUUGCUGUGGUUCCUGUUAACCAGAAAGCUAGGCGAUCUGAACUUGUACAGCGUCGAACCAGGAGACCGUUCUCUGUCUUAGAAGUAGAAGCACUAGUGCAGGCAGUUGAGGAGCUUGGAACUGGAAGGUGGCGUGAUGUUAAGUUGCGAUCUUUUGAAAAUGCUGACCAUCGAACUUAUGUGGACUUGAAGGAUAAAUGGAAGACAUUGGUUCACACGGCUAAGAUUGCCCCUCAGCAAAGAAGGGGUGAGCCAGUGCCCCAGGAACUCUUGGAUAGGGUCCUGGCUGCUCAUGCAUACUGGUCUCAACAUCAGGCUAAGCAACAUGGCAAGAAUCAGGCUGCAGUUCUAAAGAUAACAGAGACACACGGUGGUAGAAAUGGAGUUGAAGGUGAAAUUCGCUUGUUCUGACGUAAAAAAGCAAGAAAAUUGUUGACCGGAACAGGGAAGAAGAAACUUGUACAAAUGAUUUAAAUCUCUGUAAUAUUUUCUCACACUCACAUGAUUCAUUGC
Molecule: unclassified non-coding RNA, 3967 nt
Filed under: Hevea brasiliensis (rubber tree)
Lineage: Eukaryota; Viridiplantae; Streptophyta; Magnoliopsida; Malpighiales; Euphorbiaceae
Source: RNAcentral